UGGUUGGUUGAACCUGGUUUUGUGGCAUGCCAAACCUCCCGCUUUAAUGGCAGUGUUAAUUAUAACAUUAAAAUGACAACAUUACACGACAGGGCUACAAUAAAUAAACAGAUAAAUGGAAGAAAAUAUAGGACAGAGAAACAAACGAAUAAUAGCCAUCCACAGGUAACAGGUUAAAAAAUAUUUUUAUACGCCAGACGCGCGCUACGUCCACACAAAACUAUGCUCAGAUGUGAAAAG
Molecule: long non-coding RNA, 240 nt
Filed under: Mytilus galloprovincialis (Mediterranean mussel)
Lineage: Eukaryota; Metazoa; Mollusca; Bivalvia; Mytilida; Mytilidae
Source: RNAcentral